AAGAAAACUAAUGCACGCAUCGCCCUGUUCCUGCUCAAUCGACUUAAGGAAGCAUUCUGAGAAGCUUUAGUGCUCCCGAACUCUGAGUGCAUAAGCAUUUCAUGGAUGCUGGCUGAAAAGGAGAAUUGGAUUCCUCGGACUGUUGCUCCAUACAUGUGGGUUAAACAAGAAUGUGGACACGAUACCUCUGCUUCAAAUGAUAAAACUAGCGCAAGGAUAUCAGUUGAUGGUUCGGGGCUAACACCCCAAAACCAACAUGGGGCCAAGUCUAUAGUAGAACCAGUUAGGAAAUCGUUUUCUUUCGGAUGAGCAUCAUCUUCCUCUUGUCCAAUAGUAUUAAAGAGCAGCAGCCAAAGUUUUGUCCAACUGUCAACACCUUUUCUAGAGGCUUACAUAAUGCAACAAACUGAGGAUUUGAAAGAACUUCCAGCAUCUUCCAUAGAGAAUGAGAAUAGAGAUGAAACACGGGAAGAGAAGACGGAGGAUAUUACUGUCUAUCAACCACAAACACUCUAUUCUCUGCUUAUGGAUAAACAAGUUAGUCCAUCUGAACAGAAAAAAAAUCGGGAAGAGGGAAAAGAUGUUUGAUUUGCGAAAGAGGAUGAGCGAGAAGUUGGAAGAAAAGAGGCGUCACUUUGUUGAAAAGAUGAGAGGACCAUGAGAAAAUGAGAACAAAAGUAGAGAUCAGAACUCUGAUUUCUGUUACUGAUUUGUUGAUCAUGUCAGAUAUUAGCAACCAUUCUUAAAAGAAUCUUUUGAUUGAUGAAUUGUACAUCUUAUAGGUUCUUAGAAGAUCUAAUUUAACUAGAUGUAUACUUUACUAAGUGACAGAAAUUACUGUUAAUGCAUUCCAUGGAGUUACAAAUCCACAGGGUAACAUAGAUAGAAGAUUCAUUUAAUUGUUGAUUAACAAAUUAUAUGACACAGACAUGCCAUAGAGAUUACAGAGAAAUGAUAUACAGAUUCAUAUACCCUCUCAUUUGAAGGGUGAGUU
Non-coding RNA from Arachis ipaensis, 994 nucleotides. The record is from RefSeq and is a predicted model, not a curated record. Lineage: Eukaryota; Viridiplantae; Streptophyta; Magnoliopsida; Fabales; Fabaceae.